Molecule: ribosomal RNA, 429 nt
Filed under: Gemmatimonadota bacterium
Lineage: Bacteria; Pseudomonadati; Gemmatimonadota
Description: Gemmatimonadetes bacterium partial 16S ribosomal RNA
Rfam family: Bacterial small subunit ribosomal RNA
Source: RNAcentral
UAGGGAAUCUUUGGCAAUGGACGAAAGUCUGACCGAGCAACGCUGCGUGAGUGAAGAAGGUUUUCGGAUCGUAAAACUCUGUUGUUAGAGAAGAACAAGGACGUUAGUAACUGAACGUCCCCUGACGGUAUCUAACCAGAAAGCCACGGCUAACUACGUGCCAGCAGCCGCGGUAAUACGUAGGUGGCAAGCGUUGUCCGGUUUUAUUGGGCGUAAAGCGAGCGCAGGCGGUUUCUUAAGUCUGAUGUGAAAGCCCCCGGCUCAACCGGGGAGGGUCAUUGGAAACUGGGAGACUUGAGUGCAGAAGAGGAGAGUGGAAUUCCAUGUGUAGCGGUGAGAUGCGUAGAUAUAUGGAGAAACGCCAGUGGCGAAGGCGGCUCUCUGGUCUGUAACUAACGCUGAGGCUCGAAAGCGUGGGGGGCAAACAGG